This 25-nucleotide microRNA is filed under the name Equus caballus (horse). RNAcentral describes it as "eca-miR-9089". The record is from miRBase by way of RNAcentral. Lineage: Eukaryota; Metazoa; Chordata; Mammalia; Perissodactyla; Equidae.
UCACAGACAAGAACUCCCAGGGUGG